RNAcentral lists this transfer RNA (90 nucleotides) under Dipodomys ordii (Ord's kangaroo rat). It matches the Rfam family "tRNA". Rfam says of the family: Transfer RNA (tRNA) molecules are approximately 80 nucleotides in length. Their secondary structure includes four short double-helical elements and three loops (D, anti-codon, and T loops). Lineage: Eukaryota; Metazoa; Chordata; Mammalia; Rodentia; Heteromyidae. The record is from Rfam by way of RNAcentral.
ACAGGUGUGGCUCAAGUGGUAGAGCAUGAGCCUUUGAUAGAAAAGCCAAGUGGGAGCUCAAGGCCCUGAAUUCAAGCUCCAGUACCAGCA